UCCGACCUGAACUCAGACGUGAUU
RNAcentral lists this ribosomal RNA (24 nucleotides) under Paratylenchus nanus. RNAcentral's name for it is "partial 28S ribosomal RNA". Lineage: Eukaryota; Metazoa; Nematoda; Chromadorea; Rhabditida; Tylenchulidae. The record is from RNAcentral. RNAcentral also lists the same sequence under 1 other name.